UACGAACCGUCCAAACGUUACUCGGAAUCACUGGGCUUAAAGGGUGCGUAGGCCGCGCGGAGGGUGGGAUGUGAAAUCCCCCGGCUCAACCGGGGAAUAGCGUCCCAAACCGCCGUGCUCGAGGGAGACAGAGGUGAGCGGAACUGAUGGUGGAGCGGUGAAAUGCGUUGAUAUCAUCAGGAACACCAGUGGCGAAAGCGGCUCACUGGGUCUUUCCUAACGCUGAUGCACGAAAGCUAGGGGAGCGAACGGG
Molecule: ribosomal RNA, 253 nt
Filed under: uncultured bacterium
Lineage: Bacteria
Description: partial 16S ribosomal RNA
Rfam family: Bacterial small subunit ribosomal RNA
Source: RNAcentral